Molecule: long non-coding RNA, 146 nt
Organism: Seriola dumerili (greater amberjack)
Lineage: Eukaryota; Metazoa; Chordata; Actinopteri; Carangiformes; Carangidae
Exons: 3
Source: RefSeq, a predicted model, not a curated record
CUCCGGUCCGCUGCGCGCAAAAACAGUGGAGCUGGAAAAAACACGACCGACCACCUGGACUUUACUCAGCUUUAGAUGACUGUAUCUCAGUCUGAUGAGACUCUAAUUACAGGUGACUUCAGGACUCACCUGUGGACGACCUUCUA